AAUAUUGGACAAUGGGGGGAACCCUGAUCCAGCCAUGCCGCUAGUGUGAAGAAGGUCUNCGGUUUNUNAAGCACUUUAAGUUGGGNGAUAGAGUUGUAGGCUAAUACCUUGCAAUUUUGACGUUACCAACAUAAUAAGUACCGGCUAACUUCGUGCCAGCAGCCGCGGUAAUACGAAGGGUGCAAGCGUUAACCGGAAUUACUGGGCGUAAAGCGCGCGUAGGGGGUUCGUUAAGUUGGAAGUGAAAGCCCCGGGCUUAACCUGGGAAUUGCUUUCAAAACUGACGAGCUAGAGUACGGUAGAGGGUAGUGGAAUUUCCUGUGUAGCGGUGAAAUGCGUAGAUAUAGGAAGGAACAUCAGUGGCGAAGGCGACCACCUGGACUGAUACUGACACUGAGGUGCGAAAGCGUGGGGAGCAAACAGG
RNAcentral lists this ribosomal RNA (424 nucleotides) under uncultured bacterium. RNAcentral's name for it is "partial 16S ribosomal RNA". It matches the Rfam family "Bacterial small subunit ribosomal RNA", at positions 360 to 776 of the family's 1533-position model. The record is from RNAcentral.